This 679-nucleotide ribosomal RNA is filed under the name Shigella flexneri. RNAcentral's name for it is "bacterial SSU rRNA". It matches the Rfam family "Bacterial small subunit ribosomal RNA", at positions 866 to 1533 of the family's 1533-position model. Lineage: Bacteria; Pseudomonadati; Pseudomonadota; Gammaproteobacteria; Enterobacterales; Enterobacteriaceae. The record is from RNAcentral.
CGACCGCCUGGGGAGUACGGCCGCAAGGUUAAAACUCAAAUGAAUUGACGGGGGCCCGCACAAGCGGUGGAGCAUGUGGUUUAAUUCGAUGCAACGCGAAGAACCUUACCUGGUCUUGACAUCCACGGAAGUUUUCAGAGAUGAGAAUGUGCCUUCGGGAACCGUGAGACAGGUGCUGCAUGGCUGUCGUCAGCUCGUGUUGUGAAAUGUUGGGUUAAGUCCCGCAACGAGCGCAACCCUUAUCCUUUGUUGCCAGCGGUCCGGCCGGGAACUCAAAGGAGACUGCCAGUGAUAAACUGGAGGAAGGUGGGGAUGACGUCAAGUCAUCAUGGCCCUUACGACCAGGGCUACACACGUGCUACAAUGGCGCAUACAAAGAGAAGCGACCUCGCGAGAGCAAGCGGACCUCAUAAAGUGCGUCGUAGUCCGGAUUGGAGUCUGCAACUCGACUCCAUGAAGUCGGAAUCGCUAGUAAUCGUGGAUCAGAAUGCCACGGUGAAUACGUUCCCGGGCCUUGUACACACCGCCCGUCACACCAUGGGAGUGGGUUGCAAAAGAAGUAGGUAGCUUAACCUUCGGGAGGGCGCUUACCACUUUGUGAUUCAUGACUGGGGUGAAGUCGUAACAAGGUAACCGUAGGGGAACCUGCGGUUGGAUCACCUCCUUACCUUAAAGAAGC